Lates calcarifer (barramundi perch) is the source of this 316-nucleotide long non-coding RNA. RefSeq lists it as uncharacterized. Lineage: Eukaryota; Metazoa; Chordata; Actinopteri; Centropomidae. The transcript is spliced from 3 exons. The record is from RefSeq and is a predicted model, not a curated record.
UAGCCCAGCUCACCUUCCACUCAUGGCCAUGUUGUUACAGCUCACUCUGUGGACUUGUCGUUCUACUCCUGCUGCUCACGCUCACCUCAGCCUCUAACCACUCACCCUCCUGCUGCCCUCACCAGCCAGACUUGGUCGCUCAUCUUCACCUAUCUGUUCGCUGCCUGAAGCGCUCCUUUCAUUCCCUCAUCAUUCUUCUGUGCAAUAAAUCCAUUUUAGACUUUCAAAGUCUGUGUUUGGGUCCAGCUAAAAGCCAGACCCCAGACUGAUUCAUACAAUCAAUGUCGUUUGGUUAAUAGGCGAUUUCCUGAAUGCA